ACGGAGGAUCCAAGCGUUAUCCGGAAUCAUUGGGUUUAAAGGGUCCGUAGGCGGGCGUCUAAGUCAGUGGUGAAAUUCUGCAGCUCAACUGUAGGACUGCCAUUGAUACUGGUCGCCUUGAAUUAGUGUGAAGUGGCUAGAAUAUGUAGUGUAGCGGUGAAAUGCUUAGAUAUUACAUAGAAUACCGAUUGCGAAGGCAGGUCACUAACACUAUAUUGACGCUGAUGGACGAAAGCGUGGGGAGCGAACAGG
This 252-nucleotide ribosomal RNA is filed under the name uncultured bacterium. RNAcentral describes it as "partial 16S ribosomal RNA". It matches the Rfam family "Bacterial small subunit ribosomal RNA", at positions 525 to 776 of the family's 1533-position model. The record is from RNAcentral.